CCUACGGGAGGCAGCAGUGGGGAAUUUUGCACAAUGGGGGCAACCCUGAUCCAGCAAUGCCGCGUGAGUGAAGAAGGCCUUCGGGUUGUAAAGCUCUGUUGUCAGGGAAGAACCGGUGCAUCCUAAUCCGGUCCCAUAAUGACGUACC
This 148-nucleotide ribosomal RNA is filed under the name uncultured bacterium. RNAcentral describes it as "partial 16S ribosomal RNA". It matches the Rfam family "Bacterial small subunit ribosomal RNA", at positions 338 to 479 of the family's 1533-position model. The record is from RNAcentral.